This 1438-nucleotide long non-coding RNA is filed under the name Vulpes vulpes (red fox). RNAcentral describes it as "lncRNA (ENSVVUG00000012262.1)". The record is from RNAcentral. Lineage: Eukaryota; Metazoa; Chordata; Mammalia; Carnivora; Canidae.
CAGAAAGCCAAGCUAAAAUGUGCACACUAAAGAUAUGAAAAAGAUAACAGUCAGGAGCAACUGUAGUAAACACAUAACAUUACAAACAGAUUAAAUUACCACAAAGGGACAGAUAAACUUCCUUAGUUAAAUUACAAUAAUUAACCACAGUAUAGAAUUCCCUGAGGUUUAGUAAAGCAAUCAUUCAUUGCACAAGUACUAUUUAUGAAACACUUUCCAUCUAUCAACAAUUCAACCAUUUUUUAAAGUGUCUUUUAUGUACCAGACAGAGUUCAAGGAGCGAGGGAUGCAACAGUGAACUGAACACAUAAGAUGCCUUGUCAGCACAGAGCUUACAUUUUAGUGGGGGAAGCAGGAACAAGUUAUGUAGGUGAGAUACACAGAAUGCUGCAUAGCAUUAAUCCUCCCAACAGUCGUGACAAGUGAGAGUUAUUACCUCAUGUUUCAGAAGAGGAACGUAUAAACUAUGUUAACUAGAAUUUCUGUCAUUUCUUCCCUUUCCAACAACGUGAUGAUUAAAUAACAUGUUCCAUCAGGUUGGACUGGGGCUCUACAGAGCUGUGGUGGGCCAUGACAAUGUGGUGCCUUUUACCCACCCAGGGUAGAACAACCCACGGCCCAGAGAGUAGAGCUAAUGCCCAAAUGUUGUACAACAGCAAGUCCGGAAAUGAGUCUUCAAGGGGCUGGGCAGAAGAUAAGAGAAUCUUGAAAUGAAGGAAUGGGAAAAGUAUCAAAGGGAUGGAAAAAAUUUCUGCUAGAUUUGGCAAGAAGGAGAAUGUGAAUAUUUCUUGAAGGCCAGGUUCAGUGGUGUGGAAGAGGCAGAAACCAGAAUGCAGUAGCCUGAGCAGUGGCAGAAAAGUAUGUGAAACUAGCUCACAUAGAAGAGAGGAGUCAACAAAUAGAAUUAAGAAGUUUAAGAAAAAGAAUAAAUUUAAUUAUGACCAAAGGAAUGAUGGAGCCCUCUGUGAAACAGCAGACACUGAAAGACUAUGAAGAAUCCCAUGAUCAGUGGAGGGAGAGAAAAACAUCAAGGAGCAAGGGACCGAGUAGGCAAAGAUGCAGGAUUAGAUUAUUGGAUACUGAUUUGAGACAUCCUUGGUUGGAGAAAUAUUUGGAAGGUAAAUUCACCAGGACUGUUAACUGUUUAGGUGUGAGAUCAGAGAGACGGUCAAGAGUCCCAAAAGUUUCCCUAUUUUUAGCAGAGAGACUUCCAUGUGCAAGGAAGUUUAAAUUAAUUUCACAAGAAGAUACACUAGUGUCAGUGGGUGGAGUAACUGUGGGAAAGGACAAGGAUUUCUCAUUUGUGAAAUGCUGUUUCUGUGCUGGUCUCCAAGCUGGUACUUUACAUACCAAUUUCCACUUAGUAUAACAAAGAUAUUUCUCUAAAGCACAAUUGUUUGAAAAUAAAAAGUGGCACCUGAGGAGGACGAAAAUGCCU